CUGUUUUAACUACUUCCGCCGCUAAGCCACGAGCUCGGGUCUACGAGGGCUUUAGAAGCAGCAGGCGAGCAAUGAGCCCUACGCUUGUUUAGGACGACCGCGCAGACGACGCCUUGCCCCUUUUUCCCAACAUAAGCUAUAUGUCAUCCUUUGUUACCUCGAAAACACCCGGUCUAGCAUGCGCCCCUUUCCGGGCAAAGCGAACGGUCAAUACCAGGCACCUGGUCCUGCAAACCAAAACAUGGCUCGGUACCUAGUCUUUUCACACGUCGGGCAAACCUAUUUUGCCGCUGUAGACCUCAGCAGAGGUGGGGAGAUGGGCGUCUUUAGUGGAGACAAGGCGGAAGUACCUAAUGCCCUCCUGUCCGCCGCCGCGAACUAGACAUGGUCUUUGAUCUUCUACCUUCUAACACACGUACUCAAGAACGAACUACGGCACCUGUCAAUCAAGGGCCCCCUAGAUUAUACAAAAAACCCCAUUCGUCACAGUCGUCCGUGCGGCCCUCUUUAUUCGAUUGCGACCGGUACUGGCCGCGACCAACGGUGAACUCUAGUCCAAGGGCGAGGCCCUCCUCAAGCGGCUAUCGAACCUAGUGUGUCUAGGUCGCGGAGACCGGAAAGACGACCUCUCGAACCGGUUGCCACCUCAGGGCCGCCUGAGUUUGUUACCCAGACCAAUGCCCGUCGUCUAGCCGUCGCGACAGGGCCUCUCUCGUGUGCCCCACCACGCGGCAGCAGGCCUACGAAGAGGACGAACCAACCGCGUCAGUUGACUGUCUUAGUUGGCCGUUCGGGGGCGACCUGCUUUUCCAGACUUGGGGUUUGUGACAGUAACAUCUUAACGUAAACAAGUCUCACAAACGGGGUGCAAGUAUAUAGGUUUGUUUUAUUAUUAUAGACUCGAGUGUCAUCAUGCUUAUUUUUUACGUCCUUGACUAGAUACAUCGUCACCUUUACAUUUGGUACCAUCCGCUAGCAUUGUCAUAUCGACGACAUUGAUGAAAAUACGUUUAAGACCUUCAUAAAAUGAUAACUUCCGGCCAAACAUUUAAAUCCAAUACUGAGCCAUCACGUGGUGGUCUGUCCUGAGGUACGGGUAGUGCCUACUCACGUAACCUUGUUAGAUAAGCCUUCAUACGCCUUGGAUACUUUUCAAAUCAUGUAGGGUGUGAUCCGGAUUCAAAGUUAAGUAACACGCUCCGCUGAAGAUAUUCUCGGCCGAUUUGCGGCUUUCCUGUUUCAGUUACGUUCUUUAACAGACGCCGACGAGCCAUUUGUGACUAAGUACAUUAAUAGUAAAACCUUUUAUUCACCGUCGGUACCCAAAGCCACGACGUUCACACAAAUUUACUACCGUAAACACAAAAAUACUUUAAUAUGACCCCUUUGGUCUCCGUCUCUUAUCAUCAAGUACGGUGACACUCACAGGACGUAAAUAUUCCGACGUCGCGUGCUGGCUGUUGUCAACCAUGUAUUAUCUGGUUCCUGUACCGGGUGCUGUUUAUAUUGUUUCCGAUAGACCUUUGUUAUAAAAAGAUCGAACGACCUUAAGAGCAACUACAGCGGGUUUUCCUUGAGAAGACGACGCGCGUUCGACACUUGGGGAUAGAACAAGUAAAGUUCAUUAUGGAUAUUCUUGAUUUAACGAAGUCCCAAAUACAACCGUAGGCACGGAAACUAAAACGCUACUGGCGUUCCCUAGGGUUUUUGGAACAUAUGUAGGAGUCGGGUCUUGAACUCCUGGAACGACAGACAGUCGUGAUAGAGAGAGGUUGACUGUGAAUGGGACGAGUAAUAGGUUCUCUUCCAUUGUUGUCUUCGACUAUUACGUACAUAAUGUACAUUUUAUCCUCACCUUCUCCACAACAGGUCGAUGUACUUCUUAACAUAACAAGUCAAUUUUAAAUUCCUUCUCUUAUUCUCUAUGCCACUCAAGGACAAGUUAGGUAAAAACAACGGAUAGUACGGAAGUAACUUGGCUUUUUUACCUGAUACUGUUCUUAUCUUUUCAAAUAUAAAUCCGUAAAGACGUUUUGUCGUCUGUGUGCUAGUAGUGUUUGUCGUACUCUUGGUGAACUAGAACCUGAAGACUUCUACGCAGACCGGACGCGUCGAGUUGAAACGGUAUCCGGUUGACCGUAGGCGACCGCUGUUUCGAAUCCGUAUCAGACCAGAACUUCGACGAGCGUCCUGAGUAACCGAAGGGCUCGAAGGGUAGUGGCGGAUCUAGGUCGACAAGUAGAAAAAAGCAUUAUAGGACUAGUACAGGUAACACCGACGAACAUUUCACUACCUCCUUUACUGUCAGUAGCGGCUUCGCCAUCAGCGACGACGACGCGUAACUGUUUUUUUUAAUCUAGGUGGCGUUCCUCUUACUCUCUUUUAUUAGGUCGACAACGUUUCACUAACGUCCGUCGUUAAAAAACAACAUCUAUGUUUUCCAAUAACAAGUGUUGUACGGUAGGAAAGUCUUUUUCUAAACGAAAAGCUUACCUUGUCGAACUAUAAAUACUGGUGUCUUUUAAUUGGACCUCCUGGACCACAUAUAGAAGAAACUAAACAAUUUACGGUUGUUUCAGUCACUUAGAAAAUUGACUUCCCUGACCAAUGUACGAGGUUAUGAUGAAAGUUUACGUUUUUUACAAAACUCUGUAGUUACGUACUAAGAUCAACAAGGGUACCUGACAACCACACCUUCGUCUAACUUACGGCUCUCCUGUUUCAGUUACGUCCUCUAGCAAACACCGACAGGCCCAUUCGGUCUACGUCUCUUAUCUUCCAGCACAUCUACGUUAACUGGACGUAACUAUGCCGAUGACACCCGCCGACUGUUAUCAACCAUAUAUUAUCUCGUAGUACUCUUAGUGUCGGUUCGUGUGUCUACACAUGUGCUUACUAGAUUAUGUCGGUCUACUUCGCCGCGUCCUAUUACCGCUCCCACUUCAACAGGAGUACCUAGCGUUUCCGCCUUGCUCGACGUUCGUCCUUUACCCGCACCUGAGUUCAACGCCAAGAAAACCUUCUUCCAAAGCCGCUAAAGGGUUGGAGGCCGUACGUCCAGCUUAUUUCACAACGAUAUUGACUACAUUUUUUUGCUAGGGACUGGCACAUACACAACUAACUGGAAUCACUGUGAACGAGUGUGCUUCUCCUCCAACCAUCGUAGAGUACAUUCGCAUCCGUCUGUUUCUCAACCAAAACAACUAACAGACACAGCGACAUAAAAAAGCCAGAGCGUACAUCUCGAGACCGCAUCAAUGACACCACACGUAAAACCCUCGUGAACAACUUCCGUUAUCAGACCAUACGCACUCGAUCGAAAAAACUAACAGCUUUGGUAACCACAACAUUACAUGCUGCAACAACGGCCUC
This 3372-nucleotide ribosomal RNA is filed under the name Triticum aestivum (bread wheat). RNAcentral describes it as "partial small subunit ribosomal RNA". Lineage: Eukaryota; Viridiplantae; Streptophyta; Magnoliopsida; Poales; Poaceae. The record is from RNAcentral.